This 438-nucleotide ribosomal RNA is filed under the name uncultured prokaryote. RNAcentral describes it as "bacterial SSU rRNA". It matches the Rfam family "Bacterial small subunit ribosomal RNA", at positions 25 to 452 of the family's 1533-position model. The record is from RNAcentral.
CAGGACGAACGCUGGCGGCGUGCCUAACACAUGCAAGUCGAGCGGAGAUUCAAGGAGCAGCUUGCUGCACUUUGAAUCUUAGCGGCGGACGGGUGAGUAACGCGUGGGUAAUCUGCCUCAAACAGGGGGAUAACACAGGGAAACUUGUGCUAAUACCGCAUAAGACCCCAUCAUGGCAUCAUGUUAUCAAAGGAAGAAAUUCCGGUUUGAGAUGAGCCCGCGUCUGAUUAGCUAGUUGGUGAGGUAACAGCUCACCAAGGCGACGAUCAGUAGCCGAACUGAGAGGUUGAUCGGCCACAUUGGGACUGAGACACGGCCCAGACUCCUACGGGAGGCAGCAGUGGGGAAUAUUGCACAAUGGGGGGAACCCUGAUGCAGCGACGCCGCGUGAAGGAAGAAGGCCUUCGGGUUGUAACUUCUUUGAUUGGGGACGAAUAA